Molecule: ribosomal RNA, 492 nt
Filed under: uncultured bacterium
Lineage: Bacteria
Description: partial 16S ribosomal RNA
Rfam family: Bacterial small subunit ribosomal RNA
Source: RNAcentral
GAUGAACGCUAGCUACAGGCUUAACACAUGCAAGUCGAGGGGAAACGACAUCGAAAGCUUGCUUUUGAUGGGCGUCGACCGGCGCACGGGUGAGUAACGCGUAUCCAACCUGCCCAUCACUUGGGAAUAACCUUGCGAAAGUAAGACUAAUACCUAAUGACAUCCCACGAAGACAUCUGAAUGGGAUUAAAGAUUUAUCGGUGAUGGAUGGGGAUGCGUCUGAUUAGCUUGUUGGCGGGGUAACGGCCCACCAAGGCAACGAUCAGUAGGGGUUCUGAGAGGAAGGUCCCCCACAUUGGAACUGAGACACGGUCCAAACUCCUACGGGAGGCAGCAGUGAGGAAUAUUGGUCAAUGGGCGAGAGCCUGAACCAGCCAAGUAGCGUGCAGGAUGACGGCCCUAUGGGUUGUAAACUGCUUUUAUAAGGGAAUAAAGUGGGUCUCGUGAGACUUUUUGCAUGUACCUUAUGAAUAAGGACCGGCUAAUUCCGUG